AUGUGCCGCAGGCCCCUUCCCGGCCGGGCCCGCGCCCCUCACGGCGCAGCACGUGUUCCUGCGAGAACACAGGCGGCCGCGCCCCGCGCGUCCGCCAGGGGGCGCCGCCAGCAGCGCCGCGGAGGUCACAGCCCGGCUACGGCGUGCCGCCCCCCGCCCCCCACCGCCAGACCGGGCCCGCCGAGCCCCGCGGCCCAAGCGGAGGGGAAGGGGCCGGGCCCGCCCGCUCCCGAGGGCCGCCCGGAUGGGAAGGGGCCGCGGCAGGGGGAGGGGAAGCGGCUCCCCGGGCCGCCGCUGCCCACACGCGGCUCCGGGCCUAACAGGGAACAAUCGGCCCCAGCACGCAGCCGCCGCCAUGUCCCCCGCCUCCUCCCCCUCCCCAGCAACAUGGCGCCGCCGAGGCCCCGCAGCUGCCGCCGCGCCGAUUUCGUAACGAAGCCCGCGGCUCCCGGGCAGCGCGGGGCCCUCCCGCGGCCCCUCUCUCGCCCGCCCGGGGGAGGCGGGAGCCCGCGCCCCACCGCCCGCUCUCCCACGCCGCCGAGGAGCGCGGCCCGGAGGAGGGGAGGAAGAGGAGGGCCCGCCGCCCCCGCCCCUCUGCGAACAAAAGCCCACGCGGAGGGGCCCGGGACGCGCUCGCAGCCCGCGGCGCUGCCCCCCUCCCCGGGGCCCCGCGCCCCCUCCCCCGGGGGGCGGCGGAGCACAAAGCGCCUCCGCCGGGAACUCCCCGAGAAGCCCCCCCCGGCCCCUCCCCGCCGCCUCCACCUCCCGCGUUACCGCCGCUGCCGUUCCCGAGCUGGGCGUGGGCGGCGAACGGAGCCCCCGAGCCGCCGCGGCCUCUGCCCCAUGUGCCGCUUUGUUCUGGCGCCGCCAGCUCCCCCCCGCGCCGCGCCGGGCACGCCACAAACUUUCCCGGCCGGGCCUCGGGCCGCCGGGGCACGGCCCCCGCCCGCAACCACCGCGGCCGCUGCCAUUGUGCCGCGCCGCGCCGCCCGGGGGGCUCGGCCGCUCCCCGCUCCGGGCCCGGGCCGCGGCCGGGGGGGAGGGAGGGAAGAAAGGGGGCGGCGGGGCUCGCCGCAGCGGCGCGAGGCGCGCACGCUUUUCAAAUCUCCCUCAUUCCGGCCCCUCCCGCCCCGUGUGCGAGCUCGGGAGGCGCCGUCGCCGCCGCCGCGGCUGCCAUGCGCCCUGCUCCCGCUCUCCCCCGCCGCCCACCCACUCACCCACACCCCCUCCCGCCGCCCCGGCCACUCACAGCGGCCCGUCCGCCCGCACCCCCCGCGCCGCCGCCGCCGCGCUGCCCCCCGCUCCUCACCGCCACGGCUCUCCCGGCGGCCACGCGCGCGCGGCAGUGACACUCACCCGCCGGCGGCCGCCACCAUCUUCCCUCCGCCCGGCCCCGGCGCCCCGCGCGGCGGCGGCGGCGGGGCGAGGCGCGGAGCGCCGCCGCUCCCGGCGGAGCCCGUGGGGGGUGGAGGGGGGGAAGCGGCGUGGAGGCGGCGGGUCGCGGCGGCGGCCGGGCUCGGGGACCAUGUGGGUGAAUGA
Molecule: long non-coding RNA, 1539 nt
Filed under: Phasianus colchicus (ring-necked pheasant)
Lineage: Eukaryota; Metazoa; Chordata; Aves; Galliformes; Phasianidae
Description: lncRNA (ENSPCLG00000013813.1)
Source: RNAcentral